Molecule: long non-coding RNA, 2690 nt
Organism: Anolis carolinensis (green anole)
Lineage: Eukaryota; Metazoa; Chordata; Lepidosauria; Squamata; Anolidae
Gene: gjb7
Product: gap junction protein beta 7
Exons: 3
Source: RefSeq, a predicted model, not a curated record
CAGAAGUUCAGCAGCAAUGUGUCUGUUGCUUGGGACUUUUGCUUUGAGUUUCUGUUUUCUCUGACACUCUGGAGAACAGGAGACAUGUGGUGUGCCUCAUUUGAAUAGUAUGCUAAAAGAAAUGAUCAGGUUACACCUGUUUAGGUUACACUGCCUAGGGAACCGUUGGAGUCACUUUCCGAGACCUGAAGCUGUAAAACUCCCUUUCUGAGAAGACAAAACAUUACUUUUUAAUGAUACCAGAAACCCGCUGUGCUCUCUGACAACCACUUGCUGUUAUACAGCAUCCUCACAUAUCCCACCAAAAGAGCGUUUGGAGUGAACUAGAUAACAUGGAGAAGGUGCAACAAUGCCUCUUGUCUCUCCAGAAGUAGAAGAAAUGAGCUGGGGAUUUCUCCGUGAUAUUCUAAGUGGGGUGAAUAAAUAUUCAACUGGAAUCGGCAGAAUUUGGCUGGCUAUUGUGUUCAUAUUCCGCCUCCUUGUCUACGUUGUGGCUGCGGAACACGUCUGGAAGGACGAGCAGAAGGAGUUUGAGUGUAACAUUAAGCAACCCGGCUGCGAAAAUGUUUGUUUUGAUCACUUCUUCCCUGUUUCCCAAGUCAGGCUCUGGGCCUUGCAACUGAUUAUGGUCUCCACCCCAUCCCUUCUUGUCGUUCUCCACGUUGCUUAUCGUGAAAAUAGGGAAAAGAGACACAGAACAAAGCUCUACAAGGACCCUGGGAGUAUGGAUGGAGGAUUGCUAUGCACCUAUCUAAUCAGCCUCCUUUCCAAAACAGGAUUUGAAAUUGGUUUCCUCUUUUUGUUUUACAAGCUCUAUGGCGGAUUCAACGUCCCCCGCCUUGUGAAAUGUAACAUGAGUCCGUGUCCCAACACUGUUGACUGUUACAUAUCCAAGCCCACUGAGAAGAAAGUCUUCCUCUAUAUUGUGGUGGUGACUUCUUGCUUAUGCAUAGUCUUAAAUGUCAUUGAAUUCAGCUAUUUGAUUUUCAAAUAUUCCAUCAAAUGUUGUUUCAAGAAUUAUAUCAAGAAGGCUCAGGACUCCAAAAGUGAGCACAAGAAGUUGAAUUCUACAGAUCACAAUGGGACAGUCUUGUAUUUUGGGAGUGAUUUGGACACAGUCUUUGAUAUCCAUGGAACAGAAGUCAAUACCCAGCCCAGCAGCCAACGUGAAGAAUAAAAGCACAUGUUAAAAAGAAAACAUGUUGGCGACUUUAAAAAUGGGCCCUGAGAAAAUACUAUGACAGCUCAAGGACUUUAACCUGGAGGUUAUUUCCCCCCACAAAUGAAAUUAAUUAAGGUUCAGAAUAUUAAGGAGCCAGUGUGAUGUAGUGGUUUGAGCAUUGGAGUAGGACUCUAGAGAUGAGGGUUCAUCCCCACUCAACCAUGGAAACCUACUGAGUGACCUUGGUUAAGGCACAUUCUCCCAGCCUCAAAGGAAGGCAAAAGCAACCCCUCCCAACACAUCUUGCUGGAAAAACUGUGAUAGGGUCACUAUACGUUGGAAAUGACUUGAAGGCACACAGCAUAGUGACCCUCUUCUAAAUCAAUGUGUAAACAUUUGAUGCUUAUCACAGAAAACAUUGAAAAGGCCAGUAAUUUAGGCAUCUGCUUCCAUUUCAAAGAGGUUUUUUUUGUCUUCAAAGACUUAAAAGCCACCCUGUUGAAAUUUCCUUUUUCCUCCAGGAAUAGGAAGCUGUUGUCUCUGCUGGUGGCCCAUUGGCUUUGUCAUCAUGAGUUGAGGCAUUCUCUGUGACACUCAGGGGUCCCCAAAUUUUUGCAGUGGAAGCCCCUGCAUUCUCCUCUAACUACAAAUGUCAGGGGCUCCUGAUAAAUUCUUCAAGAGAAGUGUAUAGUACUGCACAUGCAAGCUUUACAAGAUGGUAGAAAAAACUACUUCUCUUCCCGAGGGGCAUUACUAAAGGGACAGAAGUUCCUACAUAACCACCUAUCCCCCACCAGUUUGCAGUGGCUAAUCCUUUGUGUUUUCCAGAUGGAAUUAAUGGGAAGCUCUUUGAGAAGAUGCAGUCAUUGACUACCCCCUUGAUAAUGUUUAUUAUUAGUACGUAUUAUAUAUAACAGAAUAUUUAUAGGGACAAGGGAUAAGAUCCAGUCUUUUGAUUGGUAAGAAAGUGGACAAAAGAAUGGGUGUUCAGCCUUUUAGAAAUGGGCAGCAGCCCAUCUGAAAGAAUAGGUGUGGAGGCUACCUGAACCCCCAGUUUUGUUAAUGACUUAUGAAUAGCACAGUUGCAGCCAGGGCAGUUUUUAUUAAGGUACACAGUUAAGUUCCUGUUGGAUCACUACCGGGUGUGCGUGUUAAGAGGAAAAGGCUCACCCUGAUUGAUUGCAAACCACAAGUUGAGUACGUAAUUAAGAUCAAUCAGUUUGGGCCACUCUGGGGUAUAACCGAGGAGUGUUUGUCCUAUGUUUUGGGCUUACUAAAUGUUUGCUCCUGGGCUUGCUGAAUCCUUGCUACUUGGUAUAAGCUCCUGACUUGCAGUUUAUCUUCAUGUCCAAGUAAGGAACAUUGAAAGAGACCUAUUUUCUACUGGAAGAAUUUCAUGAAUAAAAUCCAUGUUCUAUAUGUAAGUGCAAUACUCAGAAGAACUGUGACUGUAUUAUUGGUUUGUGUUGAAGUUGCUAUUUUCUUGAACUCUGCUUAUACAAGAGUAAAUUUGAGUUUUGCAUUCUUC